RNAcentral lists this ribosomal RNA (1295 nucleotides) under Asianopis liukuensis. RNAcentral's name for it is "SSU rRNA". It matches the Rfam family "Eukaryotic small subunit ribosomal RNA", at positions 434 to 1751 of the family's 1831-position model. The record is from RNAcentral. Lineage: Eukaryota; Metazoa; Arthropoda; Arachnida; Araneae; Deinopidae.
GCGCAAAUUACCCACUCCCAGAACGGGGAGGUAGUGACGAAAAAUAACAAUACGGGACUCUUUUGAGACCCCGUAAUUGGAAUGAGUACACUCUAAAUCCUUUAACGAGGAUCCAUUGGAGGGCAAGUCUGGUGCCAGCAGCUGCGGUAAUUCCAGCUCCAAUAGCGUAUAUUAAAGUUGUUGCGGUUAAAAAGCUCGUAGUUGGAUCUCAGUUCCAGACGGGUGGUCCGCCUACCGGUGGUUACUGCCUGUUCUGAACAGCCAGCCGGUUUCUCUUGAUGAUCUUCACCGGUUGUCUUGGGUGACCGGCAAGUUUACUUUGAAAAAAUUAGAGUGCUCAAAGCAGGCGUGACGCCUGAAUAAUGGUGCAUGGAAUAAUGGAAUAGGACCUCGGUUCUAUUUUGUUGGUUUUCGGAACACGAGGUAAUGAUUAAGAGGGACAGACGGGGGCAUUCGUAUUGCGACGCUAGAGGUGAAAUUCUUGGACCGUCGCAAGACGAACUACUGCGAAAGCAUUUGCCAAGAAUGUUUCCAUUAAUCAAGAACGAAAGUUAGAGGUUCGAAGGCGAUCAGAUACCGCCCUAGUUCUAACCAUAAACGAUGCCAGCCAGCGAUCCGGCUGUGUUCCUCAAAUGACACGCCGGGCAGCUUCCGGGAAACCAAAGCUUUUGGGUUCCGGGGGAAGUAUGGUUGCAAAGCUGAAACUUAAAGGAAUUGACGGAAGGGCACCACCAGGAAUGGAGCCUGCGGCUUAAUUUGACUCAACACGGGGAAACUUACCCGGCCCGGACACAGGAAGGAUUGACAGAUUAAGAGCUCUUUCUUGAUUCUGUGGGUGGUGGUGCAUGGCCGUUCUUAGUUGGUGGAGUGAUUUGUCUGGUUAAUUCCGAUAACGAACGAGACUCUAGCCUACUAAAUAGACGCUCCGAUCAUUUAUAGUCGGACGUUCUUCUUAGAGGGACAAGCGGCGUUUAGCCGCACGAGACAGAGCAAUAACAGGUCUGUGAUGCCCUUAGAUGUCCGGGGCCGCACGCGCGCUACAUUGAAGGAAUCAGCGUGUGCUUUCCCUGUCCGACAGGACUGGGUAACCCGUUGAACCUCUUUCGUGCUGGGGAUAGAAAUUUGGAACUAUUUUUCUUGAACGAGGAAUUCCCAGUAAGCACGAGUCAUCAGCUCGUGUUGAUUACGUCCCUGCCCUUUGUACACACCGCCCGUCGCUACUACCGAUUGAAUGAUUUAGUGAGGUCUUCGGACUGGCGCUCGAUACGGCCUUCGGGUCGCGCCGAUGUGCCGGA